AGGCUCUUGGGUCGUAAACCUCUUUUCUCGGGAAGAACAAAAUGACGGUACCUGAGGAAUAAGCAUCGGCUAACUCCGUGCCAGCAGCCGCGGUAAUACGGAGGAUGCAAGCGUUAUCCGGAAUGAUUGGGCGUAAAGCGUCCGCAGGUGGCUGUGUAAGUCUGCUGUUAAAGAGUCUAGCUCAACUAGAUACAAGCAGUGGAAACUACACGGCUAGAGUACGUUCGGGGCAGAGGGAAUUCCUGGUGUAGCGGUGAAAUGCGUAGAGAUCAGGAAGAACACCGGUGGCGAAGGCGCUCUGCUAGGCCGUAACUGACACUGAGGGACGAAAGCUAGGGGAGCGAAUGGGAUUAGAUACCCCAGUAGUCCUAGCCGUAAACGAUGGAUACUAGGCGUGGCUUGUAUCGACCCGAGCCGUGCCGUAGCUAACGCGUUAAGUAUCCCGCCUGGGGAGUACGCCGGCAACGGUGAAACUCAAAGGAAUUGACGGGGGCCCGCACAAGCGGUGGAGUAUGUGGUUUAAUUCGAUGCAACGCGAAGAACCUUACCAAGGCUUGACAUGUCGCGAAUCCUGGUGAAAGCUGGGAGUGCCUUCGGGAGCGCGAACACAGGUGGUGCAUGGCUGUCGUCAGCUCGUGUCGUGAGAUGUUGGGUUAAGUCCCGCAACGAGCGCAACCCUCGUUUUUAGUUGCCAGCAUUAAGUUGGGCACUCUAGAGAGACUGCCGGUGACAAACCGGAGGAAGGUGGGGAUGACGUCAAGUCAGCAUGCCCCUUACGCCUUGGGCUACACACGUACUACAAUGCUCCGGACAGAGGGCAGCAAGCAUGCGAAUGCAAGCAAAUCCCGUAAACCGGAGCU
Molecule: ribosomal RNA, 860 nt
Filed under: Nostoc sp. LEGE 06158
Lineage: Bacteria; Bacillati; Cyanobacteriota; Cyanophyceae; Nostocales; Nostocaceae
Description: bacterial SSU rRNA
Rfam family: Bacterial small subunit ribosomal RNA
Source: RNAcentral